RNAcentral lists this ribosomal RNA (261 nucleotides) under uncultured archaeon. RNAcentral's name for it is "partial 16S ribosomal RNA". It matches the Rfam family "Archaeal small subunit ribosomal RNA", at positions 748 to 1009 of the family's 1478-position model. The record is from RNAcentral.
UAGCCGUAAACGAUACUCGCUAGGUGUCGGCCACGGUGCGACCGUUGUCGGUGCCGUAGGGAAGCCGUGAAGCGAGCCACCUGGGAAGUACGGCCGCAAGGCUGAAACUUAAAGGAAUUGGCGGGGGAGCACAACAACGGGUGGAGCUUGCGGUUUAAUUGGAUUCAACGCCGGGAAGCUCACCGGAUAAGACAGCGGAAUGAUUGCCGGGCUGAAGACUCUGCAUGACUAGCUGAGAGGUGGUGCAUGGCGUAGACGUCU